GAAAAACUGCGCAAAAGUGGGCAUGCCGGCUUAAUGACUGACAUUUUGUGUGCAAUGUGGGAAUCUCUGUCCAAGUAGUGUGUGACUAGAUUGUGGGUUCUUUUUUUCUUCUUUUUUUUAGGUUGUGGCUUCUAGGUGAAGUGACAGAAGUAUGGAGCUCCUGUAUCUCCCACAGAGCUGGGUGAUGAUUCCAGUUUCGAAGAGCCGCAGACCGUCCAGAGGCACAGGCAGGGCUGCAGAAAGAAUUGGACAGGAAGACCUUGAAAGGGCUGAGAGGCUGGCUGAGAUGAAGGCUAAAUUGCAAGUGCUGUCGUUUGAAGAAAGGGGAGAGGUGCUUCCCAUCUACCUGGAGUGAUUUUUGACAUCAUGUACCGGAGAGCUAUCUCGGGUCUCCGGACAACCUCGCUGGUGCACCUGCAUGAAUUGCAGCGAGACUCCUGCACCUUACAACACACAACUGCUGCCAUUUCACCAUUGAAAUAUUACAUGUAAUUAUUAUGUUUACAUAACAGGUUAAGACUUUCAACGACUACACUGUACUUUAUUCAUUGAGGAGACUCUCUCCACGCAGACACACUAUUGGUGUGGCACUACUGGUUGUGGCAUUUUGUGGUUGGUUUGUUUUGACACCUCCCAACACCCCCCAUAACCCCCAUCUAUGCAUGCAACCACUCAUUUACACUGUGAGCAUUCUUAAAAUCUCUAAUGUCAAGGAAGUCUCUAGUUUUUGCUUGCCUGAGUUAGAAUA
Long non-coding RNA from Oncorhynchus kisutch (coho salmon), 748 nucleotides. RefSeq lists it as uncharacterized. The record is from RefSeq and is a predicted model, not a curated record. NCBI's taxonomy places the organism in Eukaryota, Metazoa, Chordata, Actinopteri, Salmoniformes, Salmonidae. The transcript is spliced from 3 exons.